GACGAACGCUGGCGGCGUGCUUAACACAUGCAAGUCGAACGGAAAGGCUCCAGCUUGCUGGAGUACUCGAGUGGCGAACGGGUGAGUAACACGUGGGUAAUCUGCCCUGCACUCUGGGAUAAGCCUGGGAAACUGGGUCUAAUACUGGAUAUGACCUUUCUUCUUAUGGGGUUUGGUGGAAAGUUUUUCGGUGUAGGAUGAGCCCGCGGCCUAUCAGCUUGUUGGUGGGGUGAUGGCCUACCAAGGCGACGACGGGUAGCCGGCCUGAGAGGGUGAUCGGCCACAUUGGGACUGAGAUACGGCCCAGACUCCUACGGGAGGCAGCAGUGGGGAAUAUUGCACAAUGGGCGGAAGCCUGAUGCAGCGACGCCGCGUGAGGGAUGACGGCCUUCGGGUUGUAAACCUCUUUCAGCAGGGACGAAGCGUAAGUGACGGUACCUGCAGAAGAAGCACCGGCUAACUACGUG
RNAcentral lists this ribosomal RNA (467 nucleotides) under uncultured bacterium. RNAcentral describes it as "partial 16S ribosomal RNA". It matches the Rfam family "Bacterial small subunit ribosomal RNA", at positions 28 to 507 of the family's 1533-position model. The record is from RNAcentral.